AUUAAUUAGUUCAUUCGAUUUAUUUAUUUUUUUGUUUAGUGAAUAAUUUUGACAAUGAUAUAGAGAAUAAUUUUAGAAUUUUAGUUUUCAAUAAGUUGGACAAUUUUAACGCAUUAGUACUAUUGAAUAAUAUUAAACUUUUAAGCUAAAUUUACUAUAUUAACCAUAAUUCAAUAAUGGUAUUUGCAGAACAAUUUCAACAAACUAGAAAUUUCUAAUUUAUGAAAGCAAAAUUUUAGAAGCAGUCGGAUGUGUGGGCUUACUGGCAGAUUCCAUCGACCAUUGGCCACCCUACCCUUCCAAUGAAUGGCUUAUCUUCAUAAAAGACUCGAACAACUACCCCAUCCCUGACACUUAUAUCACCUGUCUCUGUUUUAUCCUUUUGCCAUUUGGUUCAUUUGGAAAAACCGUAACGAUGCUUGCUUCAACUCUUCUCGCCAACAACUCUCUUACCACAGCACCGUAUGCAUUCCAUCCAUGAGUUCUACUUCUUCUCCGAUGCCCAUACAUCGGUGAAGAAAUCUGUGGACAUUCCAGUAAAAUGGUAUCCUCCCGAGAACGGUUAAUUGGUUUAAGUUGAACAUUGAUGGAGCUUUCCAAUCUCUUUCUUCCAAUGGAGGUUUAUGCUACAACAAUAAUGAUAAUUGUUCAAGAAAUUCAAAAUAAAACUUGCUUGAUUUAGAGGCACGAUAAUACGCUUCUUGAAGAUAGUUGGAGUCUCUCACGAGCAAACAGAAGAACUAGUUACAACUCUAUCUUUGAGAUUCAACUAAGCCACAAAAUAAGUAGCAUUCAAGAAUAUUGUUCUUCUAUUCUUGAAUCGGUGAUUUCACUAUUUGAUCAAUGUCUCUCAAGUGUUUUUCAAGCAUAAAGUAGUUUUGAGUGCUUGUUUUUCCAAACAAAAGAAACACUAUUUAUAGGUUAAAAUUUUUAUGCAAGUGAAAAGUACUCCCUCUAUUUCGAAAUAAGUGAAUUGUUGGGGCUAUUUUUUUGUAUUUCAAAAUAAGUAAAUCAUUAAAUUUUUUUUCAAAUUUAUCCUUAUGAUUUGACAACCAAUUAACUUUUGAAAAGAUAUUAUAAGGUCAAAUUUUUUUUUUUGGAAUAAAAGUAAAAAGUUAUGUUAAAUUUAUGUCUUUAAUGUUUUUUCCUUAAUAUGUAUGCUAAAAUUCAACAAUUUAUUUAUUAUGAAACGAAGAGAAUAUUAAUUAAGCAAUAAUUAAUAGGUUCAUGAAUAAAACUUAUCUUUCUUUCAAGUUUCAAGAACCUAAAAUGUAAAUGAAUUUAUAAUUGUUAAUGUAUUUGUAACUCAAGAUGCAUUUGUUUCAAUUAUAAUUUCACAUUGAUUUUCUUUGUAACUCAAAAUGCAUUUAUUUCAAUAUUAAUUGAAACAUAAAAAAUUUUUAAUCGAUGAACUUGUUUCAAAAAUUUAUUGAACAUAAAUUUCAGUAAUAACAGUUUAGCUGGGAGGGUGCAUACGAGAUCAUGAAGGUAUAUGCUACUUGGGUUUUGCUGGCAGCUCCUCAGCUUCCACUUGUCUCGAAAUGGAAUUUAAAGCUCUACUUUUGGGGCUCCAAUUAGCAUACUCUCACCAUAUUUACCCGCUUGAGGUGGAAACUGUUUCGGUGGAUCUACUUCGUUUACUUAACAAAACUAACUCCCAGCUUUCCUCUCUUGUAUCUCACAGCAGGUUCUAUUUGAAGAAACUGGCGAAUCCUCUGCUUCGCCACAACUUCGGGGAAGCAAAUAGAGUAGCUCAUCUGCUAGCUAUGGAAGGAAAUGGAAGAUUGGAUACUAGUCCUGUAGUUUUUUGGUCCCAACCAUCUUUUGUAA
This 1830-nucleotide long non-coding RNA is filed under the name Capsicum annuum. RNAcentral describes it as "long non-coding RNA (CANN_LNC021818)". Lineage: Eukaryota; Viridiplantae; Streptophyta; Magnoliopsida; Solanales; Solanaceae. The record is from RNAcentral.